CCUACGGGAGGCAGCAGUCGAGAAUCAUUCACAAUGGGGGAAACCCUGAUGGUGCGACGCCGCGUGGGGGAAUGAAGGUCUUCGGAUUGUAAACCCCUGUCAUGUGGGAGCAAAUUAAAAAGAUAGUACCACAAGAGGAAGAGACGGCUAACUCUGUGCCAGCAGCCGCGGUAAUACAGAGGUCUCAAGCGUUGUUCGGAAUCACUGGGCGUAAAGCGUGCGUAGGCUGUUUCGUAAGUCGUGUGUGAAAGGCGCGGGCUCAACCCGCGGACGGCACAUGAUACUGCGAGACUAGAGUAAGGGAGGGGGAACCGGAAUUCUAGGUGUAGCAGUGAAAUGCGUAGAUAUCGAGAGGAACACUCGUGGCGAAGGCGGGUUCCUGGACAUUAACUGACGCUGAGGCACGAAGGCCAGGGGAGCGAAAGGGAUUAGAUACCCCAGUAGUC
Molecule: ribosomal RNA, 446 nt
Filed under: uncultured bacterium
Lineage: Bacteria
Description: partial 16S ribosomal RNA
Rfam family: Bacterial small subunit ribosomal RNA
Source: RNAcentral